This is a long non-coding RNA of Toxorhynchites rutilus septentrionalis, 1222 nucleotides long. RefSeq lists it as uncharacterized. NCBI's taxonomy places the organism in Eukaryota, Metazoa, Arthropoda, Insecta, Diptera, Culicidae. The record is from RefSeq and is a predicted model, not a curated record. The transcript is spliced from 3 exons.
UACACGUACAACGCAAGUACAGCUGUAUGUCUGUCCCUGGUAUUAGGUUGCGGGUAGGCAGUAGAGCUGCAGAUGCAACAGUGUUGGCCUACGCUACGAAGUUUCCGAUCAUCUUGCCCAGGAAUCAUCGAACUACGGAUCUGCUGUUAGAUUUUUAUCAUCGGAAGUACGGCCAUGCCAACGAUAAGAUCAUCGUCAACGAAUCAACAAAAUAAGCUCUGUCCGGAAGCUGGCGUAUGGUUUAGCCGAAAUGAAUGGUAUUUAUCACCCUUUCAAUAGCCAAAAGCCAUUAGUCGGAAUAGAUUAGUUGGCUGGUCUUAGACAGCGCCACCCACAACUCUCACUUCGAACACCACAAACAACUUCCGCCGCCAGGGCACAAGGAUUCAAUUGCGUUGCAGUCAGGAAAUUCAACGAUUUACUGGAGAACGUGAUUCCAGUGCAGACCAAAAAUUCAAAAAUCCUAGCAAUGCGGGGAAAAAAGCAAAUGAGCGCUGUAAAUUCAGCUGAGCGUCGAGUGCUGAGCACGGAAUAACGAUUAUAAAAUCUUCCACAGGACAACCUGUGUUGCUACACAAUUCAGCUCCUCUGCGGACGACGAUGGAUGGAACCAAUGUUAUCGAUGCCACUAACUGCACAGAUAUUCUCUGUUCCUGCUUUGAAAAUUGCAUUCCAAUCACUUUGAUCACAUUGUUAUUUUUUGUACAUGCAAACUGAAUGAAACCCAAUGAAAUAUACGUGAUAGCAACAACAUAGAUUUAGCUUUCCUUUUAUGAGCUUGUUACGUUAUUUCCUAGCGAAAACAUGCUUAAAAGAUUGAAUCAACUAACAUGGUCAAAUUGCCCCGCACGGUGGCCCAUUUUGCCCUGUAGUGCUUACGAUCAUAACGAUAUAAAUUUUCCACAUAAAUCUUUUUUAAAGCAUAUUCAUACAAUAUACAUCGACCAAUAAGGUUUCCAAUCGUAAGGUUUCAACAUGUAGCAUAAUUUAUGAAUGUUCCUACAUGAUUUAGGACGUUUCGUUCUCAGGGGGACCAUAUUGCCCCUAUCUACCCUAUGUACAGACAUCCUCGUUCUGCCCGGUGCUCAUUCUUCGUGCAAAACGAGAAUCGGGUGAACAUACUUGUACAAAAAAAAAGACAACAGCUAGAAAAUAUGAACACUUUAUUCAGUAAAAAUUAUUUAGAUAGGGAGCAAGUGUUUGGCUUCAUCCAGAUGGAUGG